RNAcentral lists this ribosomal RNA (400 nucleotides) under Priestia megaterium. RNAcentral describes it as "bacterial SSU rRNA". It matches the Rfam family "Bacterial small subunit ribosomal RNA", at positions 22 to 410 of the family's 1533-position model. The record is from RNAcentral. Lineage: Bacteria; Bacillati; Bacillota; Bacilli; Caryophanales; Bacillaceae.
GCUCAGGAUGAACGCUGGCGGCGUGCCUAAUACAUGCAAGUCGAGCGAACUGAUUAGAAGCUUGCUUCUAUGACGUUAGCGGCGGACGGGUGAGUAACACGUGGGCAACCUGCCUGUAAGACUGGGAUAACUUCGGGAAACCGAAGCUAAUACCGGAUAGGAUCUUCUCCUUCAUGGGAGAUGAUUGAAAGAUGGUUUCGGCUAUCACUUACAGAUGGGCCCGCGGUGCAUUAGCUAGUUGGUGAGGUAACGGCUCACCAAGGCAACGAUGCAUAGCCGACCUGAGAGGGUGAUCGGCCACACUGGGACUGAGACACGGCCCAGACUCCUACGGGAGGCAGCAGUAGGGAAUCUUCCGCAAUGGACGAAAGUCUGACGGAGCAACGCCGCGUGAGUGAUG